This 468-nucleotide ribosomal RNA is filed under the name uncultured bacterium. RNAcentral describes it as "partial 16S ribosomal RNA". It matches the Rfam family "Bacterial small subunit ribosomal RNA", at positions 28 to 507 of the family's 1533-position model. The record is from RNAcentral.
GACGAACGCUGGCGGCGUGCUUAACACAUGCAAGUCGAACGGAAAGGCCCUGCUUUUGUGUGGUGCUCGAGUGGCGAACGGGUGAGUAACACGUGAGUAACCUGCCCUGGACUUUGGGAUAACUUCAGGAAACUGGGGCUAAUACCGGAUAGGAGCUCCUGCUGCAUGGUGGGGGUUGGAAAGUUUCGGCGGUUGGGGAUGGACUCGCGGCUUAUCAGCUUGUUGGUGGGGUAGUGGCUUACCAAGGCUUUGACGGGUGGCCGGCCUGGGAGGGUGACCAGCCACAUUGGGACUGAGAUACGGCCCAGACUCCUACGGGAGGCAGCAGUGGGGAAUAUUGCACAAUGGGCGGAAGCCUGAUGCAGCAACGCCGCGUGCGGGAUGACGGCCUUCGGGUUGUAAACCGCUUUCGCCUGUGACGAAGCGUGAGUGACGGUAAUGGGUAAAGAAGCACCGGCUAACUACGUG